GACGAACGCUGGCGGCGUGCUUAACACAUGCAAGUCGAACGGAAAGGCCCUGCUUUUGUGGGGUGCUUGAGUGGCGAACGGGUGAGUAACACGUGAGUAACCUGCCCUUGACUGUGGGAUAACUUCAGGAAACUGGGGCUAAUACCGGAUAGGAGCUCCUGCCGCAUGGUGGGGGUUGGAAAGUUUCGGCGGCUGGGGAUGGACUCGCGGCUUAUCAGUUUGUUGGUGGGGUAGUGGCUGACCAAUGCUUUGAAGGGUAGUCGGCCUGAGAGGGUGGCCGGCCACAUUGGGACUGAGAUACGGCCCAGACUCCUACGGGCGGCAGCAGUGGGGAAUAUUGCACAAUGGGCGGAAGCCUGAUGCAGCAACGCCGCGUGCGGGAUGACGGCCUUCGGGUUGUAAACCGCUUUCGCCUGUGACGAAGCGUGAGUGACGGUAAUGGGUAAAGAAGCACCGGCUAACUACGUG
RNAcentral lists this ribosomal RNA (468 nucleotides) under uncultured bacterium. RNAcentral's name for it is "partial 16S ribosomal RNA". It matches the Rfam family "Bacterial small subunit ribosomal RNA", at positions 28 to 507 of the family's 1533-position model. The record is from RNAcentral.